AUCUCAAUUUUAAAGAUAAGGAUUCCUGUAGACCUUCUUUCGUGUUAUUAAUGGUUCCCUUGGUUGUCACAAAUGCAUCUGGCUUGCUUAUUGUAGAAAUGGUAUUAAACAUGUGCCACUAGGAAUCCAGAGGGGCAUGUCUGUGCUUCCCUUCCUUACUUGGACCUCAUCAGAUUCGUGACACUGAUGUCCACGUACACCAGCACCCAUCAUAAGGUGGAAGCCACCCAAGACCCAGCCUGAUAAAGCCAUGUUGAAAGGAACCAAGCAUUGGUGCAGAGAAAUUCCCGCCCCUGAGCUAAGGGAGCCACAGGAAGAGACUUGGAUCUGGCCGCAGCUCAGGGAGGAGCUGGCCGAUCUGCCCCCUCAGUCCCGAGGACAUUCAGGGACAUGUCGCCAUCUUGUGACCCUUUAGGGGGAUGAUCCAGAAGAUCAAACAAGAAUCCUCAUUCCUCGUGGCCCUUCUGUGAGUGUUUCUGGUGGAAUUCCCAGUUUUCACUCUUGGAAAAAACAAAACAAACAUUUUGUGGAAGCUCAGAUGUCUUCUUUUCCUAAACGUUUUUCAUUAAUGAUCAUUGGUAGCAGUAUUUACUUUCUUGUCAUUUGCCAAAUAAGGCAGGAGACACAUGGUGUCUCUUGAAGUUGUGCCUGCCCUCCCAUCUGAGGCUUGAACUCCGGACUCACAGGCUGGUCAUUGUGACAGGCAGGAAAUUGUUCCCAGUUUCCCUUCUCAGCUAUCUGGACUUCCAUUUCUUCUGCAAAAGAAACACUGGCUUCUAAGGACGUCUCCCCAAGAGUUGACAAGGCUUCUGCUGUUACUUAUGCUUAGAAGGACACCGUUCUGGGGUCCACACCGGCCGCCAUGCCUGCUUCCCCAGGGCGGGACAGUAAUCUGGUCUUCUGGGCAAGGACAGCCGUGCUCAUCUGUUGCCUAGUCGUUUUGUCUUCUCUUCCGGUUGUCUUUGUGCCUCCAGGAAACCCAUUUGCUCUUCGCUGUCGGAAGUCUCCUCUCUGGCUGUGCUGCAGAGGGCCUAGUCCCCAGCACGGGAGGAACACUGGCCGCCUGACUCCUCGCCUUCACGCUGCACCUGCAGCCGGGUGGCCUGAGAGCGUCUCUUCAGCAUGCCCACUGAGGACCUCGCGGGGCUGACUGUCACCACCCGGGCAGGGCUCUCCGGUGCUGACCCGAGUCCUUCUUGUUGUUCUGGUAGACCCAAAGCACUGUUUUUGCAGAUAUAAAUCUUAUCAUCUUUACUGUAGAGAUAAAGCUGAGAAUCAAAGAAUAAUAACUUCUAUUUCUUAUGUUUCUUUUUUCAAAUUAAGACUUUUUUUGAUUAAAAUAAAG
RNA transcript from Sciurus carolinensis (gray squirrel), 1345 nucleotides. It is a transcript of the gene named histone H2B type 1-K, with no coding region annotated. The transcript is spliced from 3 exons. The record is from RefSeq and is a predicted model, not a curated record. Lineage: Eukaryota; Metazoa; Chordata; Mammalia; Rodentia; Sciuridae.